This 253-nucleotide ribosomal RNA is filed under the name uncultured bacterium. RNAcentral describes it as "partial 16S ribosomal RNA". It matches the Rfam family "Bacterial small subunit ribosomal RNA", at positions 524 to 776 of the family's 1533-position model. The record is from RNAcentral.
UACGGAGGGUGCAAGCGUUAAUCGGAAUUACUGGGCGUAAAGCGCACGCAGGCGGUUGAUUGAGUCAGAUGUGAAAUCCCCGGGCUUAACCUGGGAAUAGCAUUUCAGACUGGGAGUCUAGAGUACUUUAGGGAGGGGUAGAAUUCCACGUGUAGCGGUGAAAUGCGUAGAGAUGUGGAGGAAUACCGGUGGCGAAGGCGACUUUCUGGCAAUCAUCAGACGCUGAGGUACGAAAGCGUGGGUAGCAAACAGG